Molecule: long non-coding RNA, 240 nt
Filed under: Mytilus galloprovincialis (Mediterranean mussel)
Lineage: Eukaryota; Metazoa; Mollusca; Bivalvia; Mytilida; Mytilidae
Source: RNAcentral
GGCGUCUUAAUCUUGCAGUAAUGUGAGAGUGAUUUUGUUCCGUGUGGAAGGCCUUACUGUGAUUUAAAGAUGAAGAACAGCAAAUAAAUCGCUGUUUCAUUGUUUUUCGUGUUUAUUUUGCUGUACAUCUACUGAUUUUGUGUCAUCGAUGGAUUACCCCACAUGCCUUUUUUCUACAACGUUAAACUGAAAAUAUAAAACUAGUAUUAAUUGAUGUGACAGCUGUAUGGUAAAUUUCUU